UACGGAGGGGGCUAGCGUUGUUCGGAAUUACUGGGCGUAAAGCGUGCGUAGGGGGUUUGUUAAGUCUGAUGUGAAAGCCCUGGGCUCAACCUGGGAAUUGCAUUGGAUACUGGCAGGCUAGAGUGCGGUAGAGGGUAGUGGAAUUCCCGGUGUAGCAGUGAAAUGCGUAGAGAUCGGGAGGAACACCAGUGGCGAAGGCGACUACCUGGACCAGCACUGACACUGAGGCACGAAAGCGUGGGGAGCAAACAGG
Molecule: ribosomal RNA, 253 nt
Filed under: uncultured bacterium
Lineage: Bacteria
Description: partial 16S ribosomal RNA
Rfam family: Bacterial small subunit ribosomal RNA
Source: RNAcentral